UAAGAUCUAAUUAAAUCAUAAUAUUGGCCUGUCAGACCAAAAUUACUCGUUAAACCCUUGUGAUCUUAA
This 69-nucleotide transfer RNA is filed under the name Euretaster insignis. RNAcentral describes it as "tRNA-Asp". Lineage: Eukaryota; Metazoa; Echinodermata; Asteroidea; Velatida; Pterasteridae. The record is from RNAcentral.